RNAcentral lists this ribosomal RNA (485 nucleotides) under uncultured bacterium. RNAcentral describes it as "bacterial SSU rRNA". It matches the Rfam family "Bacterial small subunit ribosomal RNA", at positions 46 to 526 of the family's 1533-position model. The record is from RNAcentral.
GCUUAACACAUGCAAGUCGAUCGGUAACGCGGGGGCAACCCUGGCGACGAGAGGCGGACGGGUGAGGAACGCUUGGGAAUCUGCCCUUCAGCGGGGGACAACCCGGGGAAACCCGGGCUAAUACCGCAUACGCUCCACGGAGGAAAGCCGGGGACCGCAAGGCCUGGCACUGAAGGAUGAGCCCAAGUCGGAUUAGCUAGUUGGCGGGGUAACGGCCCACCAAGGCGACGAUCCGUAGCUGGUCUGAGAGGACGAUCAGCCACACUGGGACUGAGACACGGCCCAGACUCCUACGGGAGGCAGCAGUGGGGAAUAUUGGACGAUGGGCGAAAGCCUGAUCCAGCGACGCCGCGUGGGUGAAGAAGGCCUGCGGGUUGUAAAGCCCUUUCGGUAGGGACGAAAGCCUCCGACCUAACACGUCGGGGGGUUGACUUAACCUACAAAAGAAGCACCGGCUAACUCUGUGCCAGCAGCCGCGGUAAUAC